UGGGUCGGUGGGUUGAGAAAAGGUAGACAACCGUGCGUUGUGCCCGCCGCAGCGGAUCGAUCCGUUUCUCGUUCCUUCGUCCACACAGCCCAGGUAUCUUCUUUCUCCCUGCUGUUUUCCUCUGACGUCUCUCUCUCUCUUCAUUUUCUCCCAUCGAGCAUGCUGGAACAGAGCUAGCUGCCUAGCUUCCACUCCUCCCCCACUUUUCUCCACAGAUUUUCUCAGCCUCCGAUUUGAAAGGUGAGAACCUUGGCCGGAACUGCAAGGUCCUGAUUCGAUUAUGAAUCCAGAGGUUUGAGCGGCCAGGAGAUCUUCGCACGGUGGCAGCGUACGGAUUCGACGGCAGCGACAUGCUCAAGAGUUGGGAUCGGCGUCGCGCCACAUGCAGAGGCCGCCGCCGGCGUGCAGCAUCCCCAGUGCUUCUCCGGCCGUCCGCCGCGCCGCCUCGCCACUGGCUGCCGGCCAGCUCUCGUUGUCUUGUUUGGUGUUUGGGUGGGUGGAUUUAACGGUUUGAAGCCAGACCACCCAGUUAUGUUAGGAUACGAUGGGCUGGUUUGGCUUACGGAACCAGCCCACCUAAAUGUCACUCAAACGGGUUGACGUGGGUUGGAUUAGUUUGGGUGGAUUAAGAUAAACCAUGCUCAACGCUGGCUAUAGGUCAUGUUUGUUUGGGCUUCUGCUUCAGUUUUUGGUGCUUCUACCAAUAUGCGCAUAAAAAAGGUAUAAACAGGCAAAAGACAUGCAUGUUGGCCUGGUUUUAAUUUUAAGAUUGUGACCUUUUAGAUUUUGAAACCAUGUAAAUUGCUGAA
This is a long non-coding RNA of Brachypodium distachyon (stiff brome), 809 nucleotides long. RefSeq lists it as uncharacterized. NCBI's taxonomy places the organism in Eukaryota, Viridiplantae, Streptophyta, Magnoliopsida, Poales, Poaceae. The transcript is spliced from 2 exons. The record is from RefSeq and is a predicted model, not a curated record.